CCUACGGGUGGCAGCAGUGGGGAAUAUUGCACAAUGGGCGCAAGCCUGAUGCAGCCAUGCCGCGUGUGUGAAGAAGGCCUUCGGGUUGUAAAGCACUUUCAGCGGGGAGGAAGGCGGUGAGGUUAAUAACCUCAUCGAUUGACGUUACCCGCAGAAGAAGCACCGGCUAACUCCGUGCCAGCAGCCGCGGUAAUACGGAGGGUGCAAGCGUUAAUCGGAAUUACUGGGCGUAAAGCGCACGCAGGCGGUCUGUCAAGUCGGAUGUGAAAUCCCCGGGCUCAACCUGGGAACUGCAUUCGAAACUGGCAGGCUAGAGGCUUGUAGAGGGGGGUAGAAUUCCAGGGGUAGCGGUGAAAUGCGUAGAGAUCUGGAGGAAUACCGGUGGCGAAGGCGGCCCCCUGGACAAAGACUGACGCUCAGGUGCGAAAGCGUGGGGAGCAAACAGGAUUAGAUACCCGAGUAGUC
RNAcentral lists this ribosomal RNA (465 nucleotides) under uncultured Klebsiella sp. RNAcentral describes it as "bacterial SSU rRNA". It matches the Rfam family "Bacterial small subunit ribosomal RNA", at positions 338 to 795 of the family's 1533-position model. Lineage: Bacteria; Pseudomonadati; Pseudomonadota; Gammaproteobacteria; Enterobacterales; Enterobacteriaceae. The record is from RNAcentral.